GACGAACGCUGGCGGCGUGCUUAACACAUGCAAGUCGAACGGAAAGGCCCUGCUUUUGUGGGGUGCUCGAGUGGCGAACGGGUGAGUAACACGUGAGUAACCUGCCCUUGACUUUGGGAUAACUUCAGGAAACUGGGGCUAAUACCGGAUAGGAGCUCCUGCUGCAUGGUGGGGGUUGGAAAGUUUCGGCGGUUGGGGAUGGACUCGCGGCUUAUCAGCUUGUUGGUGGGGUAGUGGCUUACCAAGGCUUUGACGGGUAGCCGGCCUGAGAGGGUGACCGGCCACAUUGGGACUGAGAUACGGCCCAGACUCCUACGGGAGGCAGCAGUGGGGAAUAUUGCACAAUGGGCGGAAGCCUGAUGCAGCAACGCCGCGUGCGGGAUGAAGGCCUUCGGGUCGUAAACCGCUUUCGCCUGUGACGAAGCGUGAGUGACGGUAAUGGGUAAAGAAGCACCGGCUAACUACGUG
Molecule: ribosomal RNA, 468 nt
Filed under: uncultured bacterium
Lineage: Bacteria
Description: partial 16S ribosomal RNA
Rfam family: Bacterial small subunit ribosomal RNA
Source: RNAcentral